UAAUGCAGCGGCACCACAUGGUGACAGUUGUUAAAGCGGGGGAUUUUAGGCUCUCGCGCCUGAAGAGGAGCCUGCGGCAGAUUAGCUAGUUGGUAGGGUAACGGCUUACCAAGGCGACGAUCUGUAACCGGCCUGAGAGGGCGGUCGGUCACACUGACACUGACAUACGGGUCAGACUCCUACGGGAGGCAGCAGUCGGGAAUUUUGGGCAAUGGGCGAAAGCCUGACCCAGCAACGCCGCGUGAAGGAUGAAAUCUCUCUCGGGAUGUAAACUUCGCAAGAAUGGGAAGAAUUAGUAGGGGUUAAUGCCCCCUAUGAUGACGGUACCAUUUGUAAGCUCCGGCUAACUCCGUGCCAGCAGCCGCGGUAAUACGGGGGGAGCAAGCGUUGUUCGGAUUUACUGGGCGUAAAGGGCGCGUAGGCGGUCAGCACAAGUCAGUUGUGAAAUCUCCGGGCUUAACUCGGAACGGUCAACUGAUACUGUGCGACUAGAGUGCAGAAGGGGCAACUGGAAUUCUCGGUGUAGCGGUGAAAUGCGUAGAUAUCGAGAGGAACACCUGCGGCGAAGGCGGGUUGCUGGGCUGACACUGACGCUGAGGCGCGAAAGCCAGGGGAGCGAACG
This 622-nucleotide ribosomal RNA is filed under the name uncultured soil bacterium. RNAcentral's name for it is "bacterial SSU rRNA". It matches the Rfam family "Bacterial small subunit ribosomal RNA", at positions 173 to 774 of the family's 1533-position model. The record is from RNAcentral.